This is a long non-coding RNA of Gigantopelta aegis, 2782 nucleotides long. RefSeq lists it as uncharacterized. Lineage: Eukaryota; Metazoa; Mollusca; Gastropoda; Neomphalida; Peltospiridae. The transcript has 2 exons. The record is from RefSeq and is a predicted model, not a curated record.
UUUAUCAGCACUAUAGUCUGUCUUUUGAACAUGAUUUAUUGUAAUACAGCAUACACUAAAGGAAAUAUUUUUGUUGGCUAUUUAAUUUCUGUUGCAAGACAUAUGGAUAUGAUUGGACUUCACAUUUGUGAGCAGUGUUUCAACCUCAUAUUGAAUUAUUUCGAUGAAUUCGCCUGGUUUAAUUUUGUACAAAAAAAAACCCCACGUUGAUGGGGUAGGUCUACAAGUUUAUAACUUGCUAACAUAUUUUCACUUAAAAGUUUAUAUAAAUACAUAAAAUAAUAUGCAUUUACUAAAGGGCAAGUACUAUCUUCAAAAGUUUUUCAGAAUUGUGCGAUAUUUUAAAGCAGUUAAUGUUUUUUAAAAUUGCGUUUAAAAAAUCAAGUCAUUUCCAUCUCGUCUUCUUUAUCAAUUUUAGUGUCAUAAAAAAGUAUGUUCUAAACAAAAAUAAGAUACUUCAGAUAGUGAUAUAAUUAUUUCUGAUUAACCUGCUUGCACCGUUUUGAAAACACAAACUAGAAGAGCAGUCCACAAGACACAUGCUGGUGACUGCUGCGAUCGAUCAGUGACCGGGUCUUACUUGAGAUGUUGAGCCCUUCUGGAUAGGACUGGAAGUUGGCGCUCGUUUAGAUGACGCUCUUUGGGACAACGGGACGAAACUGGGUGGACGAAUUGACGACUGGCCGUGGGGCGAAAACAUGGCUGACGGAAAAUGUGUCUUCGUGGACCCGUCCAAAGGAUUCGCGUGGAAGAGAAAGUCUUGUGAAAAAUAUAUAAACUUUCUCUGUGAAUAUCCCAUUGAUAGAUGUAGUAGCGGAUGAGCUGGCGAGAAAAACAAUUCUCGUAAAAUAACAACAAAUGAAAAAGAAACAAAAUGUUUAAAUUUAUAGUUCGUUUUUUUUAUCGAUACAACUAGAGCACAUUGAUUUAGUUAUCUUCGGAACAAGGGAACUGCACAAUAAAACAUUUUAUUUAAACAAUAUAAUAAAUAGAUAAAGUAGACAGCUAUAAAUACCUUGGCAUUUUAUUCACCAAAAACGGGUCGUUCUAUAAGUCCAAAAAGGCACUAGUAGCUCAAGCUAAAAAAAAAGGUUUACAUUUUCUUAAAAUUAGAAUUAGAAAAUUAAAUAUACCUAUAAACUGUCAGCUUAAAGGUAGUACUAAACCAAAUAACUUCCGGCUGGGUCAAAGUUCCAGGUGCACUGAACUCUUGAUGGAGAAGUGAACACCAUAAGUCCUGUGAUUGGUAAUAAAUGUGAGUAUGUUGGUUGCGAAAAGAUUUAUGUAAUUUUAUUUCAUCUAGUACCACUGUGUCAGGUAGCCUUGUGCUUGAAACAUGUAUGGGAUACCUGUAAAAAAAGUACUCGAAGUUUGUACGGAACUAGUGUAGUUAUAGACGCUACCCAUUAUCUCAGAAAUGAGCAUCUUGACCCCGAAUAUUUUCCGAUUCACUUUCAGGGUGAGGGGUGGUAGUAUUUAUAUCCGUGUCGUUUAUGUCUAUUAAUACACUUCAGGUAGGAGUUUUAGCGACGUAUGUUACUAUUGUCGUCUAUGGGAUUUGAUUUGGUAUUAUACACCCUAUACUAUUUGAAAGCACAAUUGUCCCUAUACUUCUGUAUGGAUCAGAAAUCUGGGGAUUCCGCAUCAAUCAAAUUAUUGAGCAAAUACAGCUAAAUUUUCUGAGAGAUAUCUUGAGAGUUAGAAAAAUUACUCCAUUAUCCAUACUUUAUGCCGAAUUCGGUAUUAACCCCUUAAAAAUAAAAAUAAAAACUAGAAUGCUAAGUUUUUGGCCUCCAUUGAUAACAGAUAAAUCAAGCAAAAUUUCAGUUAUACUAUACAAAUACAAUGUAUGUAAUGCUAACAAACAGAACCACACAAACGGGUAAAUUCAAAUGGUUAACUUAUAUUAAUGAAACUCUAAACAAACAUGGAUUGGGAAAUAUUGGUUAAGAAAAAAGUGUUUAUAAAUAUAGCAUCUCAAAGGUUAACUGACCAAUAUUUGCAAGUCUGGCGUGAUAAGUUUAAUACCUCUACAAAAUGCAUUUCUUAUAGAGUAUUCAAAACAACAUUCUCGUUUGAAAAGCAUCUUCUUCAUUUACUUCAUAAGAUGCUAAUUAUUUUAAGUCGCUUCCGAAGAAGUAAUCAUUUGUUACCUUUCGAAACUGGGAAAUGGCAAAAUGUUGACUGAAAAGACAGACUAUGUCCUCUAUGUAACACCAAUCUAGGUGAUUAAUUUCAUUAUCAAUGUUGACUGAAAAGACAGACUAUGUCCUCUAUGUAACACCAAUCUAGGUGAUGAAUUUCAUUAUCUUUUUCAGUGUCCAUAUUUUGAUAAUAAAAGGAAAUUAUACAUAGGUAAAUCCUACAGUACUAGGACAAACAACAUCAAAUGGAAACAACUCUUUACUUCCCCCAAAACGUCUGUUAUUAAACAAUGUAUUUUUAUUGAUAAUUUUAAUUCUGUAUUUAAAGAUAUUUUUGAAAAGUAGAUAUUUCGAAUUAUUGUAUAUGUAUUACACUAUAAAAAAUAUUAUGUUGCCUAUGUAUUAAACUAUUUCUGAAUCUAAAAAAAAAAAAAUAUUUUAUAGAUAUUAACUCCGUAUUUAAAGAUAUGUUUGUAAAGUAGAUAUUUCGAAUUAUUGUAUAUAAGAUAUGUUCUAUUGUUUUAUAGUUUACUGUACUAUUUUUGUUUUAUUGCAGCUGCACUAAAUGUUUGUAAAUCACCUCUAUGUAUCACCAUAUGGUGAUCUGAGUGUAAAUAAAGUUCUGUUCUGUUCUGUUC